UGCCAGCCGCCGCGGUAAUACGGAGGGUCCAAGCGUUAUCCGGAUUUAUUGGGUUUAAAGGGUGCGUAGGCGGGAUUCUAAGUCAGUGGUGAAAGCCUGCAGCUUAACUGUAGAACUGCCAUUGAUACUGGAAUCCUUGAGUAUAGUUGAAGUAGGCGGAAUAUGGCAUGUAGCGGUGAAAUGCAUAGAUAUGCCAUAGAACACCGAUUGCGAAGGCAGCUUACUGGACUUGAAUUGACGCUGAGGUACGAAAGCGUGGGGAGCGAACAGGAUUAGAUA
Molecule: ribosomal RNA, 279 nt
Filed under: uncultured bacterium
Lineage: Bacteria
Description: partial 16S ribosomal RNA
Rfam family: Bacterial small subunit ribosomal RNA
Source: RNAcentral